This 336-nucleotide unclassified non-coding RNA is filed under the name Hevea brasiliensis (rubber tree). Lineage: Eukaryota; Viridiplantae; Streptophyta; Magnoliopsida; Malpighiales; Euphorbiaceae. The record is from RNAcentral.
CCUGCCAGCCACAAGGGAUAUUUCUAUGGUUCAGUUUCCUUACUUCCAUUGACAAGUGCAUUUACUGUUUUACCUCUGCCCAAUAUACCAUUCUUUUGGGUUUUAUUUCGCACUUAUUCUCAUUGGCGAGCUCUCCAGGGGAGUGAGAAGCUGCUUCAGCUUGUGUCUGAUUGUCCUCAUGCUGAGAAUUUAGACAUUCCAAAUAUGAAGGAAAGUGAAAGUGAAAUUGAAACUGGUGACUCCAAGCAUGAAGUCCACAAGACACGAGGUUCUAAAUGGGUGCUGCAGCCAUCAAAGGAGCUCGAGGAACUUCUUCACAACGGAGAUGAAAAUGAU